This is a long non-coding RNA of Rhagoletis zephyria (snowberry fruit fly), 108 nucleotides long. RefSeq lists it as uncharacterized. The record is from RefSeq and is a predicted model, not a curated record. NCBI's taxonomy places the organism in Eukaryota, Metazoa, Arthropoda, Insecta, Diptera, Tephritidae.
AUAAGCUUGAAACGGUUGCGAAAUGGUCUCUUACUAGUCCCAAAAUAAUUCCGAACUAGUCUCGAAAUUCGUGGACUAGCCCCGAAAUGAACCUGAACAGGUCUCAAA